Molecule: ribosomal RNA, 429 nt
Filed under: Pseudomonadota bacterium
Lineage: Bacteria; Pseudomonadati; Pseudomonadota
Description: Proteobacteria bacterium partial 16S ribosomal RNA
Rfam family: Bacterial small subunit ribosomal RNA
Source: RNAcentral
UGGGGAAUAUUGGACAAUGGGCGAAAGCCUGAUCCAGCCAUGCCGCGUGUGUGAAGAAGGUCUUCGGAUUGUAAAGCACUUUAAGUUGGGAGGAAGGGCAGUAAGCGAAUACCUUGCUGUUUUGACGUUACCGACAGAAUAAGCACCGGCUAACUCUGUGCCAGCAGCCGCGGUAAUACAGAGGGUGCGAGCGUUAAUCGGAUUUACUGGGCGUAAAGCGUGCGUAGGCGGCUUUUUAAGUCGGAUGUGAAAUCCCCGAGCUUAACUUGGGAAUUGCAUUCGAUACUGGGAAGCUAGAGUAUGGGAGAGGAUGGUAGAAUUCCAGGUGUAGCGGAGAAAUGCGUAGAGAUCUGGAGGAAUACCGAUGGCGAAGGCAGCCAUCUGGCCUAAUACUGACGCUGAGGUACGAAAGCAUGGGGAGCAAACAGG